UUAACGUCGAUGAAGGCGCAUUAGGGUGAAUGAAGUGGAUUAAGGUGCAUAAAGGAGGGCUAGGUUGGGUUAAGGUCGAUGAAGGUGUAUUAGGGUGGAUGAAGGUGCGUUGAGGUGCAUUAAGGACGAUUAUAGUGGAUUAGGGUGGGAUAAAGUGCAUGAAGGAUAAGGGUUGAUUAAGAAGGAUUAAUGUCUAUUAAGGAGGAUUACGGUGGGCUAGGGUGAAUUAGAGUGAAUGAAGGAGGAUUAGGGUGCAUUAAGGAGGAUUAGGGUGUACUAAGGAAGAUUAAUGUAGAUUCGGGUGGAUUAAGGUGAAUUAAGGACGAUUCUAGUGGAUUAGGGUGGAUUAAGGUGAAUGAGGGAGCAUUAUGGUUGAUUAAGGAGGAUUAAAGUGCAUUAAGGAUGCUUUGAGUAGAUUAAGGUCGAUGAAGGUGGAUUAGGGUGCAUUAAGGAGUAGUUUCGUGGAUUGGGUGGAUCAAAGUGAAUGAAGGAAGAUUAAGGUCGAUGAAUGUGGAUUCGGUGGAUUAACGUGCAUUAGGAGUAUUAUGCUAGACUAAUCGGCCUUAAUACUCAGUGAACCCUAAUUCAGCUUAGUACACUCUAAUCCACCUUAAUACAACCUAAUCAACCUACAUCGCCCCUAAUGCACCUUAGCCUAUCCUAUAUGGUCUUAAUCCUCCUUUAUCAAUACUAAUCCAUCAUAAUCCGCCUUAAUCCACCUUCAUACACCUUAAUGCUUAUUCAUGCACCUUAAUCCAAUUUAAUCCUGCUUAAUAGUCCCAAUCUACCUUAAUACACCCUAAUCCACCUCUAUCAAACAUAAUCCAGCUCCAUGGUCCCUAAUCCACCUUAAUCUACCCUAAUCCAUCCUAGUCGGUCUUAAUCCUCCUUUAUCAACCCUAAUUCACCUUAAUCCACAUGAAUCGGCCUUAAUAUUCUUUUACCCACCUUAAUCCUCCCUAAUCCUCGUUCAUGCACCCUAAUCCAGCCUAAUCGGUUUUAAUACCCUUUCAUCAAGCCUUCACCUUAAUACACCAUAAUCCGCCUUAGUCCUCCUCUACCCACCUUAACCUUUAUUCAUGCAUCUUAAUCUUUCUUAAUGCACUCUAAUCAACCCUAAUCCUCCCUAAUCCACCUUAUGUCAAUCACUAAUGAUUCAUUAAUUAACUUGGGUAAUCAUUCUCUUAUACAGGGGUGGACAUGCUUUGGGUCUCCUCUGGCCUUCCUUGGGUCACGUGAAACUUCCAGUUUACAACGCGACCUUGACACACAGAGAUCUAAAGGCUUUCGCCUUAAAAAUAAAAAAAAAAUUCAAUGUUGACAAGCUAACGCUCAUCACCUGCAAUACCACGGGUAUACUUGCCACUAAAUUUUUCAGGGCGCAAAGCAGAAUCUAUAAUGCUGCACUUCCAACUGAAUAACAACAGCGACGUGCGAGGUGAUGGAGCCGCCCCAGAAUAUUAAGCAUACUGAGGACAACCGCAAUAAGAAACGCUGGUGAGCAGUCCGGAAGAAUGAAAAAAAAAUGCAGCAUUACGGGAUGCUUUGCUACGAGCUAUAAGAAAGAAGCCUCAGAUCGCAAACAACGCUGUUCUCUGUCGGAACAAAGUUCUUUCGGCCAAUGGCAUGCAGCCUCUGCUUCCUGCGCAAGCCGUCACGCUUUCCUUGUGGAAUCAAAAAACGGCAUAACCAUCUUGAGGCUUUUUGCUGCAGUUAUAUGUGCAAAAGCACGACAUGGCGCUAGCACAUAGAGCAGGAAACAUAGCGUACAACGCUCGCUACGCCGAGCUAAAGCGCCGAGCCAGCCGUGCUCAGGAGGAAAAUGGCGCGAACGAAAAAGAAAAACACAAGCAAAACUCAAGAUCCGCGCGUUUCCAAGGGCAACGGCAGGGAGACCAAUCGUCGUGCUGAAAAACGGGGGCAAAACUGGUUGCCGCCGGGGGAACGCACAAGGGGCGAGGAGGAGGCGAGGAGGUCACGCGGCGGCGGCAGAGUUCAAAGCGUGUCGCUACUUUCAAACUAUCAAGGGACUUUAGCCCCGAUCCCGGCCGGCGACGCCACGGCAGCGUUUCAUAGUUUGUGCGCAUGGCUCGUGCUGUGCUUGCUUUCCUAAACGACAAAAAUGCAGGCGCUGGACUGUGAUGGUGCAAACAUUACAAUCGUCCGUAGCCCGAUGAGAGCGCUGGCGUCUCAGCAUCGUGCUGGCCACGUAUACAGAAGGAGCACGUAAACACACGGCAGAAAGAUGGCUCCAAAGCGUGCAGUCAGCGUCGAGGACACUCGGCCCCGAAAGAAGCGUCGCGCAGGACAGGAGCGUCUUCGCUACGCAGCGAAAUGUUGUACAGACAGCGAAUGUAUGUAUAGAAGGGGUAACGAAAGAUGAACUUUCCCACGAACCAGGCCACAACGUAAAAGAGGCAACGUCGACGACUGGCGUAACGAGGUGCCGGGCAGCUGCAUUUCUCAAAUGCGGAAAAACGCGCCGUGUAACAAGGCCUACCUACCACCACACCCAGAGACCUCCUGUUAUUGUCGCCUCCCCACCUCCGAGCCAUCCACAGAUUCUUGGAGUUUGUGGAGGCGACCGGGAUCACCGCCCUACCGAUAAGCCCACUCACCCCGCCGGCCGCUGCCUUCGCCACCUUCAUCAUCGGCAUUCUCCAUGAACGGACGAGACUCGUGCUGCUUUUCCUUCCCUUCAUCUUUAUUUCCCACUUCCCCUACGCCGUGCUCCCUAUUGGGCUGCAGAAAUAAGCGUCAUUUCCCACAUUAAACCACUACUACUACUACUUAUAUAAAUAGAGACUUGUAGGUUGAGGACGCACGUACGAAAAAGACGAUGCUGUAUUUCCUACGUUUCGGUCGGGGUGCGGCAUUCGUCAGGGAAUACAUGUUUAAACGUAGAAAAUAAAGCAUCGUUUCUUUUUUUUUUUUUUUCGUACGUGCGUCUUCAACCUACAAGUGCCUGUUCAACUACCGGAUCCUUUCACCUUAUAUAUAUAGUGCAACUGACGGUGGUCCUUGCACUUCACUCCUCCAAGAAGCAGGGCGUGUGUAGAGUGGGCUCCCGAACAACACUUUGUAAUGUGGUGAACGCGGUUCAAAUCGUGGAUUAGGUACCUGAAAGAGGUGCGACGUAAUCUUAACGCAUUUCUCUUACAUUUACCGCUAAAUCGCCGCUGACGUUUCUUUUUCUUUUUCAUGCGUAAGCAUUUCUAUGCCUACCCAAACAUUAAACCUGUCCGCCACGUAAGACAAGCCACUGUAAAGAAAAUAAUGUAUAAAACAUUGUUGCUAUGAAGUUUUUGAUGAAAUAUUUGGUGAUGGUGGAAUAAAAGCCACCUCUAGAACCAGAUGUUGAGCAGACUUGGUGCAUUGUAGACAUCGGGAAAAUUCCGAUUUUGCGAAAAUUUUAUGCCAAACACUCCCCAUCCCUGAUGCGUUUCGGUGGUCGCGGGAUGUGCCUUCUGUUGGGGCGUUCCUUCACCGACCAAUAUGCCACCGAUAUCUGAGGGCUCAUGUGCUUCACGUCACGCAACACAGACCGAUAAGCGGUCAAUACUUGGUAAGGAAGACAAGGAGUGAUGAGGGGUUAUAUGGAUCUCAUCACGGUUGACAGUGGUUCGACGCGGAUGCAUAAGGUGCUAAAGAACGAAAAGGGGUUAGAAUGGUUGGAUCAAUUAGGAUAAUGUUAAUAAGCCUUGAUAAAGGUUGGUAAUGGGCGGAUAAAGUCCGAUAAAGUUGACAAGGACCGAUAAGAGUUGAUACCGGUCGGAUAAUGUCCGAUAAGGUUGAUAAGGACGGGUAAUGGUUGAUGAGGAUCGGAUCGAUAGCGUUAAGUUUGAUAAUGACCGAUAAGGGUUGAUAAGGAUGGGAUCAAAUGCGAUAACUGAUAAUAACCGAUCAGGGUUGAUAAGGGUCGGACUUCGUCCGAUAAGUUUGAUAACGACUGGAUAAGUGUUGAUAAGCUUUAUACUGCUCGGAUCAAGUUUCACAUCACUGAUAAUGACACCGAGCUGCGGGGAGAUGAGCACAAUGCUUGCGCACACUUACACAACUCCCAGAGGGUUUUGCGCGUGAACUUCUUUAAAGGGACACUAAAGGUUACUAUGGAGUCAAGUUAAAGUGAUAAACCAAUGCUCUAGAACGUCUAAGGCGUCAAUAUAAUCGCAAACAGAGCUUUAGUAAACAAAAAAUUGAGGUAAAUGCAUGACACGAGUUGAGACCCCCCAGCGACAUUCUGGUACUAGCCAGAUGACGAAGGCAAUCCACAUCAUAACUUGUCACUAGUACUCAAAUACUCGUAUUAAAAAGAU
Non-coding RNA from Dermacentor andersoni, 4316 nucleotides. The record is from RefSeq and is a predicted model, not a curated record. Lineage: Eukaryota; Metazoa; Arthropoda; Arachnida; Ixodida; Ixodidae.